RNAcentral lists this long non-coding RNA (558 nucleotides) under Sorghum bicolor (sorghum). RNAcentral's name for it is "long non-coding RNA (SBIC_LNC017965)". Lineage: Eukaryota; Viridiplantae; Streptophyta; Magnoliopsida; Poales; Poaceae. The record is from RNAcentral.
UUGCUUCGUACGUAGUAGUGGGCAGUUCAUUAGGCUUUGGCAGCAUUUUUUUUUUGAUCUUCAGUAAUUGCCCAAAUGCCUUAUCGGAUACACCAUUCUGUGCCUUCCAUUUUAACAAUUCUAGUGUUGUACCCAGUUUUUUUUGCCCAUCCUGGGCAGAUGGGUAUAGUAAUUUCUUGUGAUCUUCUAACAUGUGGUCAAACUUUGUCUUCUCUUUUUCAUUUUCGCAAUCUUUUUUGUGCAUCACGAAUGACAUCACCAAGAGCAUCAUCUUCAACAGGUGCGCCUUCUGCACCUGCCUAAUCUUCAACUUCUCCCAUUGAUGUAUCACCGAAGUCACCGUAUUGAGCAAUAAUGUCGUCAGGCUCCAACUGUUCUUCUUCACCUUCUUCCAUCAUUAUCCCGUUUUCUCCAUGCUUGGUCCAACAAAUAUAGUUUGCCAUAAAACCACACUUCAACAAAUGUGAGUGAAUAUUUCUAGAGCUAGAAUAUUCCUUCAAAUUCUGACACAAGGCACAUGGGCAACAUAUGAAUCCAUCCCGCUUGUUUUCCUCGGCC